This 82-nucleotide transfer RNA is filed under the name Candidatus Thorarchaeota archaeon. RNAcentral describes it as "tRNA-Leu". It matches the Rfam family "tRNA". From Rfam's summary of the family: Transfer RNA (tRNA) molecules are approximately 80 nucleotides in length. Their secondary structure includes four short double-helical elements and three loops (D, anti-codon, and T loops). The record is from RNAcentral. Lineage: Archaea; Promethearchaeati; Candidatus Thorarchaeota.
GCCGAGAUAGCCAAGCCCGGUCAAAGGCGGUGGACUCAAGAUGCACUUCGCAUAAUUGGAACAAAUCCCAUUCUCGGCACCA